GAGACCACCUGCAUAGUUGUGAUGGUUGUGUUUUCAAGGAAAGAACACCAUAGGAAGCUGAAAUUUUAUUGAAUAAUAUGUUGACUAAUGAAAAUAAUUGGACAUUUCCUGAUCCAAUUCCUGAUCCAAUUCCUGAACCAACUCCUAAGCCAACUCCGAAGAAAAAGGGUAUUCUAUUUCUCAGUCCUGAAGAUAUGCAAGAGGCAAAGAAAUCGAUGAAGGAAAAAGGUAUUAAAGCUAAAGAUGUUAAGAAUUUACCGCCUGUUGAAGAAAUAGAUUGUUUUAAUUCAUUACCUAUUGAAGAAACAUAUGGUCUUGAUAACCCGACACAUUCAAAUUUCUGCCCUAUCAACUUUCGAUGGUACGAUAGGGGCCUACCAUGGUGGUGACGAGUGACAAAGAAUUAGGGUUCGAUUCCGGAGAGGGAGCCUGAGAAAUGGCUACCACAUCCAAGGAAGGUUGCAGGCGCGCAAAUUACCCAAUCAUGACAUGUAGUAAAGGUA
RNAcentral lists this non-coding RNA (503 nucleotides) under Triticum urartu. RNAcentral describes it as "Eukaryotic small subunit ribosomal RNA". It matches the Rfam family "Eukaryotic small subunit ribosomal RNA", at positions 125 to 466 of the family's 1831-position model. Lineage: Eukaryota; Viridiplantae; Streptophyta; Magnoliopsida; Poales; Poaceae. The record is from Rfam by way of RNAcentral.